This is a long non-coding RNA of Anneissia japonica, 1249 nucleotides long. RefSeq lists it as uncharacterized. Lineage: Eukaryota; Metazoa; Echinodermata; Crinoidea; Comatulida; Comatulidae. The transcript is spliced from 2 exons. The record is from RefSeq and is a predicted model, not a curated record.
AAGACAUUACUCAUACGUUUCGGUCGACAAAGUCACUUGGUUUCAUGAAAUUGUAUUGCCGAAAAGGCAUCAAAUUAGUGCUAAAACCCUAAUCAAGUUAAAAUCAACGAUAUUUGGCUCAUAGUUAAGAGAGAUUCCUAAGAGAUACUGACAUGGCGUACAACCGUGGAUAUUCAUUUGAGGGGAAAGUUGGCAACUACUUGAGAGAUAGAUACGGCAGUUCGAAUGUCCAGUCACAAGUAUCAAUGAAUGGAAGCUAUGCUGACUUUGUUGUGAAUAUUGGCUGUUGGCCAUGUAAUGAAACGCUUGUAUGGGAAGCAAAGUCUUCAGAGAAGAUCGUUAAAGAAUACGUAUUCCAGGCAGCGAGAAUUGCUAAAGGAUAUGGGAAAGCUAUCCUUGCAAUUGGGCGGAGUGCAAACGUUUCUGAAACCGUAUACCUACACGCACGCGAUAGUAAUGUUAAGAUAGAACGCAUGUAUUUUGAUUACUAGUUCGCUGUGAAUUGUAUUAAUCACUUAUUGUGGGACAAGGGUUUAAUAGGCCUAAUACGUAUUUGAAUCCUAUAUGUAAGCCCUAAAGCUAGAAUAAGAGAGUGACAUAAAUUAAUAACCAAAAUACGUAACUUGUAUAGGCCUACAAUAAAGGGGACGCCGAACAUUUCUGAGUGUGCCAAAUGUUCAGAUCGAUCCCUAUUUAACCACUGUUAUUUUUGUGAUCUUUUACAACAAAUACAAUGAACUUAUUUCUUUUCCUGCAAACUAUUAUUUUGAAGACUAUUGAGUCAUAAACUUAAUAUGAAACCAGAAUUUCAUUUCCCAUAUUUUAUUUAGUUAAAUGACAUUUUUUGGAGACACUUCUGGAUUUUGAUUCAUAAAAAUGGAUAUCAGACUAAUUAAAUGGUCAGGUCUUCAGAAUUUCCAGUUAAGUUUUGUUUUACGUCCGAAGUGAAUUUGAUGGAAUUCUUCGUGUCACUUCGGCAAGUUUGGCCCUUUGCCAUGGAUUUACUUUAAUACAUAAAUAUAAAUCCAUAACCUGCACCCUGCCAUUAAUAUUAAUGUACUCAUUUAGACUUACUUUUAUAUAUUCAUUCUAACCUGUGCAUCCAAUAGUAAAUUCUAUUGUUAAAAAGAAUUGUUUAUUGGUAGCACAUAACUCAUCAAGUUCCGUGGUUAUAACAAAAUAUAGGCCUAUGUUGACUUUACAUCAAAUAUAGGCCUAUUUUGUUUUCAAUAAAAUCUUCUAAAAAUUA